GUGUAUGUCAGCUAAGCAGACCUUUAGCUACUUAAGUUAUCGUUAGUUUACAAACGAUAGUGGAUACUUAAAGACUGAUACUUUUUAUUUAACAUUACACAUAGCUUGUUGUAUGAUUUCUAGUCAAGAAUGGUGCAAUGUGCUGUUCCUCGGCUAGCCCAACUGGAAUAGAUGGGGAAUGUGUCACUUGAGAAUGGAGGAUACCAUCAUCAGUGAUGAUAGCUGCAUUAACGGUGUGGUGGCGUUACAGCAGUGGCUGUCUCCUUGUCUCCGGAUGGGGACUGCUGCUCUGCCUGCUCCUGUGCUCUCUGGUGGCGCUGUUGGUGGGGGUGGAGGACCAGUGCUGUGCCACUCUAAAGGGGAUUGCCCAGUUGCACUGCCAGCUAUGGGGUGAACUUCCGCUGUCCAGUCCACCAGCCUCACUGUCCCUUUCACAGCCCUCGAUCUCCUGCCCCUAAGGGCCAAGCCCAGUAUAGGUCCUUCCCAACAAUGAAGAGAGGAAUAAAAGCGAUAAUACAACUUAUAAAUGCGCAGUAAGUAACGAUAACUUGGCUAUAUACACGGGGUACCAGUACUGAGUCGAUGUGCAGGAGUACAAGGUAAUUGAGGAACAUGUGCAGUGAGCUCAAAGUAUUGGGACAGUAACACGUUCUGUUUUGGCUCUGUACUCCAGCACUUUGGAUUUGAAAUGAAAUAACGACCGAGACUGUAUUGGGUGACCCGUUUAGAAAUUACAGCCCUUUUUGUACAUAGUCCCCACAUUUUAGGGGACUGAAAGUAUUGGGAUAAAUUUACUUGUAUGUGUAUUAAAGUAGUCAAGUUUAGUGUUUGGUCCCAUUUCUUGCAUGCAAUGAUUACAUGUAGCUUGUGACUACAAACUUGUUGGAGACAUUUGCUUUUUUUUGGUUGUUUCAGAUUAUUUUGUCCCCAAUUGUAAAUAAUGUUUGGUCGCUUAUUAAGAAUAGAUUGUUUCUAGACACUUCUACAUUAAUGUGGAUGCUACCAUGUUUAUGUUCAUACAAAUAUUUACACAUGUUAAGUUUGCUGAAAAUAAAGCUGUUGACAGUGAGGAUGUUUUUUUUUUUUGUUUUUUUCUGAGUUUACUUCCCCACAGCCAGAUUAAUUUGUGGAGACCAUUUUUAUGUCUCUGCGUGCAGUUUGAAGGAAGUUGCUAACUAGCGUUAGUGCAAUUCCUAACUAUCUUUAACACAAUCACAAAGCUAACUUUAACUUACUUCAUAGUGCAUGCAGACAUACAAAUGGUAUCCAUGAAUUCAUCUGUCUGGGGAAGUAGAUAAAGGCCCAAAAUCCCAAAGUAUCCCUUUAACACACUUCUGACAGCACAGCCUGGUUAUGUAAUAUGUGUGUGUGUGGU
This is a long non-coding RNA of Salvelinus namaycush (lake trout), 1375 nucleotides long. RefSeq lists it as uncharacterized. The transcript has 3 exons. Lineage: Eukaryota; Metazoa; Chordata; Actinopteri; Salmoniformes; Salmonidae. The record is from RefSeq and is a predicted model, not a curated record.